UACGGAGGGUGCUAGCGUUGUUCGGAAUUACUGGGCGUAAAGCGCGCGUAGGCGGCUUUGUAAGUUAGAGGUGAAAGCCCGGAGCUCAACUCCGGAACUGCCUUUAAAACUGCCUCGCUUGAAUCCAGGAGAGGUGAGUGGAAUUCCGAGUGUAGAGGUGAAAUUCGUAGAUAUUCGGAAGAACACCAGUGGCGAAGGCGGCUCACUGGACGGGUAUUGACGCUGAGGUGCGAAAGCGUGGGGAGCAAACAGG
RNAcentral lists this ribosomal RNA (253 nucleotides) under uncultured bacterium. RNAcentral describes it as "partial 16S ribosomal RNA". It matches the Rfam family "Bacterial small subunit ribosomal RNA", at positions 524 to 776 of the family's 1533-position model. The record is from RNAcentral.